RNAcentral lists this unclassified non-coding RNA (255 nucleotides) under Hevea brasiliensis (rubber tree). Lineage: Eukaryota; Viridiplantae; Streptophyta; Magnoliopsida; Malpighiales; Euphorbiaceae. The record is from RNAcentral.
CGUGCACCGUCCCCAUCUGUGAGCUCAGGUGAACCCUUCCUAACUAAUUCCAGCCUAGGAUUGGGUCGUUGAACAUUCAUGGCUUCUGUAGUGUCUCUAGUAAACCAACUCAAUUAAACAUGUUUCAGUUUCUCAGGUUGUUGCUACAACCCCAGUUUGUCUUUCGCAGCGUUCCUGUCAUAGAUAGAAGAGAAAAAUAGAGCAAUUAAUGUUUCCAAUAAUUUCAGAUGUCAUCAUGUAAAGCCUUCAACAGCG